CACGUAGGGCGCGAGCGUUGUCCGGAAUUAUUGGGCGUAAAGAGCUCGUAGGCGGCCUGUUGCGUCCGCUGUGAAAGCCCGGGGCUUAACCCCGGGUCGGCAGUGGAUACGGGCAGGCUAGAGGUAGGUAGGGGAGAAUGGAAUUCCCGGUGUAGCGGUGAAAUGCGUAGAUAUCAGGAGGAACACCGGUGGCGAAGGCAGAUCUCUGGGCCGUAACUGACGCUGAGGAGCGAAAGCAUGGGGAGCGAACAGG
RNAcentral lists this ribosomal RNA (253 nucleotides) under uncultured bacterium. RNAcentral describes it as "partial 16S ribosomal RNA". It matches the Rfam family "Bacterial small subunit ribosomal RNA", at positions 524 to 776 of the family's 1533-position model. The record is from RNAcentral.